Molecule: ribosomal RNA, 297 nt
Filed under: uncultured Planctomycetota bacterium
Lineage: Bacteria; Pseudomonadati; Planctomycetota
Description: uncultured planctomycete partial 16S ribosomal RNA
Rfam family: Bacterial small subunit ribosomal RNA
Source: RNAcentral
AAUGAACGUUGGCGGCGUGGAUUAGGCAUGCAAGUCGCGCGCGUAGCAAUACGAGCGGCGAAAGGGACAGUAAUAUGUAGGUCAUCUGCCCUCGGGACGGGGAUAGCCACGGGAAACUGUGGGUAAUACCCGAUGACGUCUUCGGACCAAAGGUGUGAGUCCGCCCGGGGAUGAGCCUACAUCCUAUUAGCUUGUUGGCGGGGUAAUGGCCCACCAAGGCUUCGAUGGGUAGCGGGUGUGAGAGCACGACCCGCGUCAUUGGGACUGAGACACUGCCCAGACACCUACGGGAGGCAG